This 405-nucleotide ribosomal RNA is filed under the name uncultured bacterium. RNAcentral's name for it is "bacterial SSU rRNA". It matches the Rfam family "Bacterial small subunit ribosomal RNA", at positions 355 to 776 of the family's 1533-position model. The record is from RNAcentral.
CAGGGAAUCUUCCACAAUGGGCGAAAGCCUGAUGGAGCGACGCCGCGUGAGGGAUGAAGGCUUUAGGGUCGUAAACCUCUUUUCUCAGGGAAGAGCAAGGACGGUACCUGAGGAAUAAGUGACGGCUAACUACGUGCCAGCAGCCGCGGUAAUACGUAGGUCACAAACGUUGUCCGGAUUUAUUGGGCGUAAAGGGUCCGUAGGCGGUUCGGUAAGUCUCCUGUGAAAUCUUCAGGCUCAACUUGAAGAGGUCGGGGGAUACUGCCGGACUUGAGACUGUUAGAGGCAAGUGGAAUUCCCGGUGUAGUGGUGAAAUGCGUAGAUAUCGGGAGGAACACCAGUGGCGAAAGCGGCUUGCUGGGACAGUUCUGACGCUGAGGGACGAAAGCGUGGGUAGCAAACCGG